This is a long non-coding RNA of Triticum aestivum (bread wheat), 1014 nucleotides long. RefSeq lists it as uncharacterized. The transcript has 3 exons. Lineage: Eukaryota; Viridiplantae; Streptophyta; Magnoliopsida; Poales; Poaceae. The record is from RefSeq and is a predicted model, not a curated record.
GGCACCCAACGCACCGGUGCCCGGGUGCAUCCAUCUACAGCGAGGUGCAGACGAGCCGCACCGCGCACACACUGCCCCUCCCCUUCGUCCUCCGUCCUCCGCUCCCACUUCACGCUCGCCGACGAGCCGACCAGCACUACCGCUGGAAGCCCCGACGAGAUAGCCAAGCUGUUCUCCAGCCUGCACGGCCGUGCUGCCGUCGGCCGAGCCGGUCGCGACGAAGCCGCUCAAGAUCGGCGUUGUGCUUCCCGGUGGCCAGGUUCCAGGGGGACAAUUGAUCAGCAUCUUUGAUUACCUGCAGGAGGAUGCCAAAGGCAGCAUCAUGUAUGGAUUAAGGGAGGCCCGGCUGGUGUCAUGAAGGGCAACUACGUCGAGCUGACUGCUGAUUUCGUGUACCCCUACAGAAAUCAGGUAUGUCAGCAUAACCUUUACUAAGCACGCCUACUGAAAUUUCAAUGUUUCAUAUAGAAUUUUGUUAUAACCAUUUGCAAAACUGCAAGUGGCUCACCAGUAGAGAUUUUGUUAAGGUACUUCCAUGAAUUAACAGAUGCUAUUUUUUUCUCUUGAAGUAUCCUUGUGUGUAAGAAAUUUCUGAGCAUAAGCAUGACAAAUAUAUGAUGGAUACAUACAGUUUUGUGGGUAAUCUGAAUUACUAUUUCAUGCACUGGACUGACAUUACAUGAAUGAUCAUGUAGUACAAUGAGAACUGGUAAAUUCAAGGAUGAAUAGUGCUAUUCUGAUUUAUCUCCACUUCUCCAUAUAGUCUGUUUUAGCCUCUUUACUGUAAUCGGACAGGGAGUCUUUCCAUUUGUGUGUCUUCAAUGAGAAUCUUGAACACAUCUAUGUUAGUUUAGAUUAUAUUAUUUCUUAACUCCAUUUUGUGUUGCAAUCUGCUGCUAUUUUUACGGAUGGAUUGAACUGAAUACUACUAAUAUUUUUAUUAUUUCAGUCGUCAGAGAUUCAGAAUUCUUGUUGUAUCAUGGAUGUACUACCAGAGAUGGUAAAUGCUUUAGA